Molecule: ribosomal RNA, 253 nt
Filed under: uncultured prokaryote
Description: partial 16S ribosomal RNA
Rfam family: Bacterial small subunit ribosomal RNA
Source: RNAcentral
UACGUAGGCCUCAAGCGUUAUCCGGAUUUAUUGGGCGUAAAGAGCAUGUAGGAGGUUUUGCGCGUCUGCGGUUAAAGCCCGCCGCCUAACGGCGGAUCUGCCGCGGAUACGGCAUAACUAGAGGAAGUUAGAGGUGCAUGGAACUCACGGUGUAGGGGUGAAAUCCGUUGAUAUCGUGGGGAACACCAAAGGCGAAGGCAGUGCACUGGGACUCUCCUGACUCCGAGAUGCGAAAGCGUGGGGAGCAAAAAGG